AUCUUAUUCGACUUCAGCAAAAGAGUUUACUUUUUAAUUGUACAUAUUGAUAUAUGUUUAAAUAAUCACAUUUGAAGACGACAAGUGAUAAAAUUUAAAAUGGCUACUUUAUUAGCGAAGCAAUUGAAAAGGCUAAGAAUUUUACAAACUACACAAUUGGCGCAAACAAGAAAACGUUUUAGUCUGUUAUUUCAUCCUAAGCUGGACAAAGGUAUUCCGUAAGAGUAUAGUUUCUAGCCAGAACGUUGGAGGAAAUUUAAGGUGAGCCAUUACAAAAAUAUUUUUAAUUGUAGUUAAUUUAUCAUUGAUUUAAUACACCAUUCUUUUAAGACAAAUUCGUCGAAAUAAACUUUAUCUUGCUUAUAUAUAAAAAUUAUGUAUGAAAAUAAACAAUAAAGAGAUGUGUACAAAUGUAUGAUAUAUAUUAAGAAAGAAAUGAUAUGUACGAAUGUAUGAUUAUAUAUGAAGAAAAAAAGAAUUUUUAUAAAGCAUCUUUUAAUCUGUUAUAAA
RNAcentral lists this long non-coding RNA (510 nucleotides) under Polistes fuscatus (common paper wasp). RNAcentral's name for it is "uncharacterized LOC122519968". Lineage: Eukaryota; Metazoa; Arthropoda; Insecta; Hymenoptera; Vespidae. The record is from RNAcentral.